RNAcentral lists this non-coding RNA (109 nucleotides) under unidentified. RNAcentral's name for it is "Candidatus Burkholderia ZTP sequence". It matches the Rfam family "ZMP/ZTP riboswitch aptamer (pfl RNA motif)". Rfam says of the family: Previously known as pfl RNA. ZMP is also known as AICAR. The record is from RNAcentral.
CAAACCCCGCGUGACUGGCGAUAGAUAGGAUUUUCGGAUCCAAGGUGGAGCGACCCACCAGGAAGCGCGGAGCGUCGUUUUCGUUUUGCCGUUCGCCUGGGCAGCUAAA